Long non-coding RNA from Prosopis cineraria, 669 nucleotides. RefSeq lists it as uncharacterized. The transcript is spliced from 3 exons. The record is from RefSeq and is a predicted model, not a curated record. NCBI's taxonomy places the organism in Eukaryota, Viridiplantae, Streptophyta, Magnoliopsida, Fabales, Fabaceae.
GCAACAGGGGAGACAAACUCUCUGGAUCCUUCGAUCGUUCGGGGUGCUGUCGCUGUCUUUCCUUUCCUCUUCGAUUCUCUAGAUGUUUCACGCGGCAGCCUCCGAUCAUCGUCGUCCCAUCACCCAUCGUCCUUCCGGUAGUAUUUCCUCUGCUUUUCACCGCUGGUUUGGCUCGUCCUUGUGCUCUGUAAUUCUGGGCUGAUGUGGAGUGCGUGGCAGUGGUCUUGGGUGUCCAAAUUAGUGUCUCUUCCAUCUUCUCCAACAGCUUGCGUGACUAGGAACAUGGGAAUUGUUGGUGGAAUUUGUUCGAAAGUUAAGGAACAAACCGAGCCCUAUUUUGUAUAAGAGGAACCCUUUUGGUACCAAAGGAUUGAGGUCCAAGCGAAGGAACCAGUGGAGGACGAGGAAAGGAAUAGAGCUAGGGGUUGUUUGUGAAUUGUAAAGAAUUGCAACCCCAAAUCUAUUGUAAUGUAUUUAGGAUUAGGGUGCCAGUAGGAUAUGAUUAUGUAUAUGUGCAUGAGUAUGUGUGGAUUGUAUGGCUUGUGUAUGAAUUUUUGAUUGCUUGUAGACUUGUGGUUAGGAAACUUGGCUAUGGUAUGUGGUUUUGAUGGAUUUAUUUAGUAGACUAAGUUUUCACUACAAGCAAAUAUUUAUUUUGAUAUAUAUGUG